CCUACGGGUGGCAGCAGUGGGGGAUAUUGCACAAUGGGGGAAACCCUGCUGCAGCGACGCCGCGUGAGUGAAGAAGUAUUUCGGUAUGUAAAGCUCUAUCAGCAGGGAAGAAAAAAGACGGUACCUGACUAAGAAGCCCCGGCUAACUACGUGCCAGCAGCCGCGGUAAUACGGAGGGGGCAAGCGUUAUCCGGAUUUACUGGGUGUAAAGGGAGCGUAGACGGCAAUACAAGUCGGCAGUGAAAUACCCGGGCUCAACCUGGGAACUGCUUUGGAAACUGUAUGGCUAGAGUGCUGGAGAGGUAAGCGGAAGUCCUAGUGUAGCGGUGAAAUGCGUAGAUAUUAGGAGGAACACCAGUGGCGAAGGCGGCUUACUGGACAGUAACUGACGUUGAGGCUCGAAAGCGUGGGGAGCAAACAGGAUUAGAUACCCUGGUAGUC
This 441-nucleotide ribosomal RNA is filed under the name uncultured bacterium. Its description in RNAcentral is "partial 16S ribosomal RNA". It matches the Rfam family "Bacterial small subunit ribosomal RNA", at positions 338 to 795 of the family's 1533-position model. The record is from RNAcentral.